UACGUAGGGUGCAAGCGUUAAUCGGAAUUACUGGGCGUAAAGCGUGCGCAGGCGGCUUUGCAAGACAGAUGUGAAAUCCCCGGGCUUAACCUGGGAACUGCAUUUGUGACUGCAUGGCUAGAGUGCGGCAGAGGGGGAUGGAAUUCCGCGUGUAGCAGUGAAAUGCGUAGAUAUCUGGAGGAACACCGGUGGCGAAGGCGGCGUUCUGGACUGUUUCUGACACUGAAUAACGAAAGCCAGGGGAGCAAACGGG
This 253-nucleotide ribosomal RNA is filed under the name uncultured bacterium. RNAcentral describes it as "partial 16S ribosomal RNA". It matches the Rfam family "Bacterial small subunit ribosomal RNA", at positions 524 to 776 of the family's 1533-position model. The record is from RNAcentral.